GGUGGCUAAACCCUGCACAUAGCAAGCCAUCUUUCAACUGUGGAGAUAUUUAUACAGCAGGGAAGUUUCUUCCCCUCCUACCAGGAGAAUGGCUGUACUCACCAGCUGAUACUCGCUCCGACGGCUGAAGGCUUCCUUGAUUCCUGAGUCCCUCCACAGGGCACACAGUGCAGGUACGUACAGCUGGAAUGUGGCAGGCUCGAUGGGCAUUCCAGCUUUGUUUUCAAAAGCCAUCAAAAACAUUCCGUGUUUCUCAUUCUCCGUGUACUGCCAAGGGAUUCCCAGUUUGUCCCGUGCGUCAACCAGAACCCUGCAGCCCUUGAGGAUGUUCUCGUAGAUGGUGGCCCGGAACUCCAACAGCGCCUUCUGGUCGAACUCUCGACCGUGGAUGAUCCGCAUCUGCUUAAGGAAAGUGGACUUGCCGCUCUCCCCGGCGCCCAGCAGCAGGAUUUUGACCAGGCGCCUCACGGCCCUCCGCUCCCGGGCCAGCAUCGCGUCGAUCUCCCGGCUCCGCCGCCUCGCCUCCCGCUCCGCAUCGCGGCUCCGCUUCUUGCCCUCCCGCCUCGGCUGCUCUCGGCCCGUGGCCUCGGCCGGCAGCAGGCAGCGGCUGAGGGUGCGCACCACGCCGGACAUGGCGGCCGCGCGACGGGAGCGCUCACGACGCCGCCGAGACCCCGGGCGGCUCCGCCAGCAUCGGGCGGAGGCCGCCGAGACGCUGGGACCCGGCAGGAGGAGGAGCAGCCGGGGGCUAAGGGCCGGGACCGCCCAUUCCCCUUAGCUCGGCGGCGGCGGAGGGAGGCGGCGGGGUGCGGCCGGCCGGGGGGAGGGGUGGCGGCGGGGCGCGGCCCGCAGGCCCUGCCCGGGGAGGAGGCUCCGCCGCCCGGCUCCGGGCUGAGGGAAGAGUCGCGGGGCCGGGGAGCGGAGGGAGGAUGCCCCCGAGCGCCCGGGCCCGGGUUCAGUCGGCGACGACCGCCUCCGGUCCCGCUGAGGCGCGACGGGGCGGGGGCGCGACGGAGCCCCCGGCCCCCUCAGUCACGGAGCGCCGCCGCCACCGCCUUGCGGAAGGAGGUGCCAGCUCGGCCCCACCCCCCCGCUGGCUCUGCGUUUGAUUGGGUGGCAGUAGUGUCGCUCAAAACUCCGCGCAUUCCAUUGGACAAGUCGCCAUGAAGGGCGGG
This 1175-nucleotide long non-coding RNA is filed under the name Gallus gallus (chicken). Lineage: Eukaryota; Metazoa; Chordata; Aves; Galliformes; Phasianidae. The record is from RNAcentral.